CAAUCUUCUAUCAAACCCCACUCUUUGAUCUGCCAAAGAAUCCUUGAGUCGCCGUCAAAGCGCGGUUUUGUGCCUUGGGGUCUGAUUUUGACCCACGUUCAUAACCGGUCCUCUUUGGGUAUCAACUUUCGUCUUCUUGAGGUAAUUUUUACUAAUUUUUACUCCUAACUCCUUCCUACAUAUGCCUAUAUCCUUUAUUUUUUUAAUCUACCUUGUUUUGCCUUAUUUUUGGCCUUAUAAAGUAAAUAGAAGCAUAAUUUGUAAAUAGGCAGCAUUAGCACCUUUAAUUUUUCUAUCCUUUCACUAAUAUCUAUUUUUCCAGGAUAAUUUGUUAUAAUAUUUUUGAAGUGAGAUCCUCAAAACAUGAUAUUUUCUUCACCCUUUCACUUGUUAUCUAUGUUACAUCACGACACCAUACACGUGCGCUAUAUCCAAAAGAGUGACAGUAGGUACAAAAUCAACAUCCUAACUUUGAGCGCCCAUAUCUAUUUCAUAUAAACUCCAAAUCAAACAUAAUUUGUACCAAAACCAUGGCCAAAAACCUAAAAUUGCUGAUUUUAGCCUUCAAAGCUCGAAUGCCUCUGAUAAAUUAACCCUAAUCUCUAAUAUGGCC
Molecule: long non-coding RNA, 613 nt
Filed under: Physcomitrium patens
Lineage: Eukaryota; Viridiplantae; Streptophyta; Bryopsida; Funariales; Funariaceae
Description: long non-coding RNA (PPAT_LNC004466)
Source: RNAcentral